RNAcentral lists this ribosomal RNA (253 nucleotides) under uncultured bacterium. RNAcentral describes it as "partial 16S ribosomal RNA". It matches the Rfam family "Bacterial small subunit ribosomal RNA", at positions 524 to 776 of the family's 1533-position model. The record is from RNAcentral.
UACGUAGGGUGCAAGCGUUGUCCGGAAUUAUUGGGCGUAAAGAGCUCGUAGGCGGUCUGUCGCGUCGGCUGUGAAACCUUGGGGCUCAACCCCAAGCCUGCAGUCGAUACGGGCAGACUAGAGUGCGGUAGGGGAGACUGGAAUUCCUGGUGUAGCGGUGAAAUGCGCAGAUAUCAGGAGGAACACCGGUGGCGAAGGCGGGUCUCUGGGCAUUACCUGACGCUGAGGAGCGAAAGUGUGGGGAGCGAACAGG